CCUACGGGAGGCAGCAGUGAGGAAUAUUGGUCAAUGGCCUGAAGGCUGAACCAGCCAAGCCGCGUGAAGGACGAAGGUGCCAAGCAUUGUAAACUUCUUUUGUCAAGGGACAAAAUCAGGCUCGAGAGCCUGACCUAAGGUACUUUAAGAAAAAGCAUCGGCGAACUCCCUGCCAGCCACCGCGGUAAUACGGGGGAUGCGAGUGUUAACCGUAUUUAUUGGGUUUUAAGGGUGCGUAGGCGGACGGUUAAGUCCGCGGUAAAAAUCCGGGGCUAAACCCCGGCGAGCCGUUGAAACUGGCUGUCUUGAGAUGGCGAGAGGUAUGCGGAAUGCGUAGUGUAGCGGUGAAAUGCUUAGAUAUUGCGCAGAACUCCGAUUGCGAAGGCAGCAUACCGGCGGCGAUCUGACGCUGAGGCACGAAAGCGUGGGUAUCGAACAGGAUUAGAUACCCUUGUAGUC
Molecule: ribosomal RNA, 459 nt
Filed under: uncultured bacterium
Lineage: Bacteria
Description: partial 16S ribosomal RNA
Rfam family: Bacterial small subunit ribosomal RNA
Source: RNAcentral